GUACUGCGGAGGACAUUAUUGAUCUUUUGAGGAGUUGUUUGCUGGCCCCUUACAGGGGCAUGUGCACGCUCUGUUCAAAAAUCCAACCUUUCAUACCCCUGUGCACCUUUUGUAGAGUUGUGGCCGUGAGGCUGCACUCUAUGUUCAUUUAUAAACUCUUGAGUAUGUUUAGAAUGUUAUUGCGUGUAACGCAUCUAUAUACAACUUUCAGCAACGGAUCUCUUGGCUCUCGCAUCGAUGAAGAACGCAGCGAAAUGCGAUAAGUAAUGUGAAUUGCAGAAUUCAGUGAAUCAUCGAAUCUUUGAACGCACCUUGCGCUCCUUGGUAUUCCGAGGAGCAUGCCUGUUUGAGUGUCAUGGAAUCAUCAAUCCUCAUCUUUAAUGAUAAGGGUUUGGACUUGGAGGCCUUUGCUGGUUCCGAUCGGCUCCUCUUGAAUGCAUUAGCUUGAACCUAUGCUGUAUCAGCUGUUCGGUGUGAUAAUUGUCUACGCCGUGGCUGUGAGGCUGUGAAAUUUAUAGGAUCAGCUUCCAACUGUCUCUCAUAUGAGACAACAUCUUCAUUGACCUCUGACCUCAAAUCAGGUAGGAUUACCCGCUGAACUUAAGCAUAUCAA
Molecule: ribosomal RNA, 613 nt
Filed under: Cystidiopostia pileata
Lineage: Eukaryota; Fungi; Basidiomycota; Agaricomycetes; Polyporales; Postiaceae
Description: eukaryotic LSU rRNA
Rfam family: 5.8S ribosomal RNA (bases 203-356)
Source: RNAcentral